RNAcentral lists this transfer RNA (75 nucleotides) under Clostridia bacterium. RNAcentral's name for it is "tRNA-Glu". It matches the Rfam family "tRNA". From Rfam's summary of the family: Transfer RNA (tRNA) molecules are approximately 80 nucleotides in length. Their secondary structure includes four short double-helical elements and three loops (D, anti-codon, and T loops). Further hydrogen bonds mediate the characteristic L-shaped molecular structure. tRNAs have two regions of fundamental functional importance: the anti-codon, which is responsible for specific mRNA codon recognition, and the 3' end, to which the tRNAs corresponding amino acid is attached (by aminoacyl-tRNA synthetases). tRNAs cope with the degeneracy of the genetic code in two manners: having more than one tRNA (with a specific anti-codon) for a particular amino acid; and 'wobble' base-pairing, i.e. permitting non-standard base-pairing at the 3rd anti-codon position. The record is from RNAcentral. RNAcentral also lists the same sequence under 1 other name. Lineage: Bacteria; Bacillati; Bacillota; Clostridia.
GGCCCGUUGGUCAAGCGGCUAAGACGCGACCCUCUCAAGGUUGAAACAUGGGUUCGAUUCCCGUACGGGUCACCA